UUAAGUAGUGGUGCCGCUCUUAUUAGAAUUAUCAAGUAAUAAGAGUUGUUCGCUACUUAACG
Caenorhabditis briggsae is the source of this 62-nucleotide microRNA precursor. It matches the Rfam family "microRNA mir-251 microRNA precursor family". NCBI's taxonomy places the organism in Eukaryota, Metazoa, Nematoda, Chromadorea, Rhabditida, Rhabditidae. The record is from Rfam.